This 253-nucleotide ribosomal RNA is filed under the name uncultured bacterium. RNAcentral describes it as "partial 16S ribosomal RNA". It matches the Rfam family "Bacterial small subunit ribosomal RNA", at positions 524 to 776 of the family's 1533-position model. The record is from RNAcentral.
UACGUAGGGUGCGAGCGUUACUCGGAAUUACUGGGCGUAAAGCGUGCGCAGGCUGUUUUGUAAGUCAGAUGUGAAAUCCCCGAGCUCAACUUGGGAACUGCGUUUGAAACUACAAGACUAGAAUAUGUCAGAGGGGGGUAGAAUUCCACGUGUAGCAGUGAAAUGCGUAGAGAUGUGGAGGAACACCGAUGGCGAAGGCAGCCUUCUGGGCCAACACUGACGCUCAUGCACGAAAGCGUGGGGAGCAAACAGG